GUUUGUGUGCUUGGAGGUUACUAUUGCAUCAAAUGCUUUCCCGCAUGACACCAUCCCACUACCAACUGCUCCCAUUAGCCUUCCAACUCACCUCCGUUAUCUGCAAGACUAUCUGCCCACUUCGGCAGUCACACAUCUGCUAGCUGAUCUCCUGAAAAUGCAGUUUGACCACGUUCAUUCCAAAACUACAGGACAUCCACCACGUGCCAGGCCUUCAGACGCAGACUGGGAGUUACAGCAUCAGCUCCUAUGGUUCUCAAGCCUUUGGACCCAGACUAAACUACACCAUUGGCUUUCCUGAGUCUCC
This 307-nucleotide long non-coding RNA is filed under the name Equus asinus (donkey). RNAcentral's name for it is "lncRNA (ENSEASG00005036711.1)". Lineage: Eukaryota; Metazoa; Chordata; Mammalia; Perissodactyla; Equidae. The record is from RNAcentral.